This 191-nucleotide non-coding RNA is filed under the name bovine gut metagenome. The record is from RNAcentral.
GUCGGCGCCUCCGGGCGCCGGUGAAAAGGGAACCCGGUGCGAAUCCGGGACGAGGCCGUCACUGUGUACGGGAGCUGCCCUCACCUUCAGUCCUUGCGUCACUGGCUGUCUGCCGCUUCUUCUUUUUGGCGGCCGUGCCGGGAAGACGGAGGGCGGCAGAGACCAAAGUCAGGAGACCUGCCGGUAUGUUU